This 2921-nucleotide ribosomal RNA is filed under the name Staphylococcus aureus. RNAcentral's name for it is "23S ribosomal RNA". It matches the Rfam family "Bacterial large subunit ribosomal RNA". Lineage: Bacteria; Bacillati; Bacillota; Bacilli; Caryophanales; Staphylococcaceae. The record is from RNAcentral.
UUAAGUUAUUAAGGGCGCACGGUGGAUGCCUUGGCACUAGAAGCCGAUGAAGGACGUUACUAACGACGAUAUGCUUUGGGGAGCUGUAAGUAAGCUUUGAUCCAGAGAUUUCCGAAUGGGGAAACCCAGCAUGAGUUAUGUCAUGUUAUCGAUAUGUGAAUACAUAGCAUAUCAGAAGGCACACCCGGAGAACUGAAACAUCUUAGUACCCGGAGGAAGAGAAAGAAAAUUCGAUUCCCUUAGUAGCGGCGAGCGAAACGGGAAGAGCCCAAACCAACAAGCUUGCUUGUUGGGGUUGUAGGACACUCUAUACGGAGUUACAAAGGACGACAUUAGACGAAUCAUCUGGAAAGAUGAAUCAAAGAAGGUAAUAAUCCUGUAGUCGAAAAUGUUGUCUCUCUUGAGUGGAUCCUGAGUACGACGGAGCACGUGAAAUUCCGUCGGAAUCUGGGAGGACCAUCUCCUAAGGCUAAAUACUCUCUAGUGACCGAUAGUGAACCAGUACCGUGAGGGAAAGGUGAAAAGCACCCCGGAAGGGGAGUGAAAUAGAACCUGAAACCGUGUGCUUACAAGUAGUCAGAGCCCGUUAAUGGGUGAUGGCGUGCCUUUUGUAGAAUGAACCGGCGAGUUACGAUUUGAUGCAAGGUUAAGCAGUAAAUGUGGAGCCGUAGCGAAAGCGAGUCUGAAUAGGGCGUUUAGUAUUUGGUCGUAGACCCGAAACCAGGUGAUCUACCCUUGGUCAGGUUGAAGUUCAGGUAACACUGAAUGGAGGACCGAACCGACUUACGUUGAAAAGUGAGCGGAUGAACUGAGGGUAGCGGAGAAAUUCCAAUCGAACCUGGAGAUAGCUGGUUCUCUCCGAAAUAGCUUUAGGACUAGCCUCAAGUGAUGAUUAUUGGAGGUAGAGCACUGUUUGGACGAGGGGCCCCUCUCGGGUUACCGAAUUCAGACAAACUCCGAAUGCCAAUUAAUUUAACUUGGGAGUCAGAACAUGGGUGAUAAGGUCCGUGUUCGAAAGGGAAACAGCCCAGACCACCAGCUAAGGUCCCAAAAUAUAUGUUAAGUGGAAAAGGAUGUGGCGUUGCCCAGACAACUAGGAUGUUGGCUUAGAAGCAGCCAUCAUUUAAAGAGUGCGUAAUAGCUCACUAGUCGAGUGACACUGCGCCGAAAAUGUACCGGGGCUAAACAUAUUACCGAAGCUGUGGAUUGUCCUUUGGACAAUGGUAGGAGAGCGUUCUAAGGGCGUUGAAGCAUGAUCGUAAGGACAUGUGGAGCGCUUAGAAGUGAGAAUGCCGGUGUGAGUAGCGAAAGACGGGUGAGAAUCCCGUCCACCGAUUGACUAAGGUUUCCAGAGGAAGGCUCGUCCGCUCUGGGUUAGUCGGGUCCUAAGCUGAGGCCGACAGGCGUAGGCGAUGGAUAACAGGUUGAUAUUCCUGUACCACCUAUAAUCGUUUUAAUCGAUGGGGGGACGCAGUAGGAUAGGCGAAGCGUGCGAUUGGAUUGCACGUCUAAGCAGUAAGGCUGAGUAUUAGGCAAAUCCGGUACUCGUUAAGGCUGAGCUGUGAUGGGGAGAAGACAUUGUGUCUUCGAGUCGUUGAUUUCACACUGCCGAGAAAAGCCUCUAGAUAGAAAAUAGGUGCCCGUACCGCAAACCGACACAGGUAGUCAAGAUGAGAAUUCUAAGGUGAGCGAGCGAACUCUCGUUAAGGAACUCGGCAAAAUGACCCCGUAACUUCGGGAGAAGGGGUGCUCUUUAGGGUUAACGCCCAGAAGAGCCGCAGUGAAUAGGCCCAAGCGACUGUUUAUCAAAAACACAGGUCUCUGCUAAACCGUAAGGUGAUGUAUAGGGGCUGACGCCUGCCCGGUGCUGGAAGGUUAAGAGGAGUGGUUAGCUUCUGCGAAGCUACGAAUCGAAGCCCCAGUAAACGGCGGCCGUAACUAUAACGGUCCUAAGGUAGCGAAAUUCCUUGUCGGGUAAGUUCCGACCCGCACGAAAGGCGUAACGAUUUGGGCACUGUCUCAACGAGAGACUCGGUGAAAUCAUAGUACCUGUGAAGAUGCAGGUUACCCGCGACAGGACGGAAAGACCCCGUGGAGCUUUACUGUAGCCUGAUAUUGAAAUUCGGCACAGCUUGUACAGGAUAGGUAGGAGCCUUUGAAACGUGAGCGCUAGCUUACGUGGAGGCGCUGGUGGGAUACUACCCUAGCUGUGUUGGCUUUCUAACCCGCACCACUUAUCGUGGUGGGAGACAGUGUCAGGCGGGCAGUUUGACUGGGGCGGUCGCCUCCUAAAAGGUAACGGAGGCGCUCAAAGGUUCCCUCAGAAUGGUUGGAAAUCAUUCAUAGAGUGUAAAGGCAUAAGGGAGCUUGACUGCGAGACCUACAAGUCGAGCAGGGUCGAAAGACGGACUUAGUGAUCCGGUGGUUCCGCAUGGAAGGGCCAUCGCUCAACGGAUAAAAGCUACCCCGGGGAUAACAGGCUUAUCUCCCCCAAGAGUUCACAUCGACGGGGAGGUUUGGCACCUCGAUGUCGGCUCAUCGCAUCCUGGGGCUGUAGUCGGUCCCAAGGGUUGGGCUGUUCGCCCAUUAAAGCGGUACGCGAGCUGGGUUCAGAACGUCGUGAGACAGUUCGGUCCCUAUCCGUCGUGGGCGUAGGAAAUUUGAGAGGAGCUGUCCUUAGUACGAGAGGACCGGGAUGGACAUACCUCUGGUGUACCAGUUGUCGUGCCAACGGCAUAGCUGGGUAGCUAUGUGUGGACGGGAUAAGUGCUGAAAGCAUCUAAGCAUGAAGCCCCCCUCAAGAUGAGAUUUCCCAACUUCGGUUAUAAGAUCCCUCAAAGAUGAUGAGGUUAAUAGGUUCGAGGUGGAAGCAUGGUGACAUGUGGAGCUGACGAAUACUAAUCGAUCGAAGACUUAAUCAA